RNAcentral lists this ribosomal RNA (497 nucleotides) under uncultured bacterium. RNAcentral describes it as "partial 16S ribosomal RNA". It matches the Rfam family "Bacterial small subunit ribosomal RNA", at positions 28 to 507 of the family's 1533-position model. The record is from RNAcentral.
GAUGAACGCUGGCGGCGUGCCUAAUACAUGCAAGUCGAGCGAACGGACGAGAAGCUUGCUUCUCUGAUGUUAGCGGCGGACGGGUGAGUAACACGUGGAUAACCUACCUAUAAGACUGGGAUAACUUCGGGAAACCGGAGCUAAUACCGGAUAAUAUUUUGAACCGCAUGGUUCAAAAGUGAAAGACGGUCUUGCUGUCACUUAUAGAUGGAUCCGCGCUGCAUUAGCUAGUUGGUAAGGUAACGGCUUACCAAGGCAACGAUGCAUAGCCGACCUGUGAGGGGGAUCGGCCACACUGGAAGUGAGACACGGUCCAGACUCCUACGGGAGGCAGCAGUAGGGAAUCUGCCGCAAUGGGCGGAAGCCUUACGGAGCAACGCCGCGUGAGUGAUGAAGGUCUUCGGAUCGUAAAACUCUGUUAUUAGGGAAGAACAUAUGUGUAAGUAACUGUGCACAUCUUGACGGUACCUAAUCAGAAAGCCACGGCUAACUACGUG